UUCGGUCCUUGUUUCAUUUUUUUUUUAUUUUGCUGAUUUCGGAUGAAGUCAAUAACAUCAUUCCUGACCUCACUUGACCCUCCUCCGACCCUCCAUCAAGCAUGACAGGCCCCUGACGGCCUCGAUAGUCUUGAAGCAGCCUCUGGAGGCCCUCUCUCCCUCUCAAUCUCCUUCCCUCCACCUCUCUCUCUUUUCAUCUCUGUCGUUCUCCCUUCACCCUCUCUGUAGUGUCGGUUCGAGCCUGAUACGGAACAAUAUGAUGGCGUACUGAAUUGUGCCACCAGUUUGAUUGGUCUGAGCCUCGGUAUCGGCUCAGUGA
RNAcentral lists this long non-coding RNA (319 nucleotides) under Elaeis guineensis (African oil palm). Its description in RNAcentral is "long non-coding RNA (EGUI_LNC078062)". Lineage: Eukaryota; Viridiplantae; Streptophyta; Magnoliopsida; Arecales; Arecaceae. The record is from RNAcentral.